This 296-nucleotide unclassified non-coding RNA is filed under the name Hevea brasiliensis (rubber tree). The record is from RNAcentral. Lineage: Eukaryota; Viridiplantae; Streptophyta; Magnoliopsida; Malpighiales; Euphorbiaceae.
UUGAAAUACAGUGAGCAGAAGCGAAAUAAACCCCAAAAGCAUCAAUUCUUCUUUAACUUUCUGAAGAGCUUCAUUGAGCGGCUUCUGGUUCUUCUUCUUGAGGUAUUUGCCGAGGAAGUGAAGGAGACGCUCUAAAGCGAGCGAAAUGGCGACGAUGACGGUACAGACGGCGGCUACAACCCACGUCGGAGUGAAUUCCAGCGUCGUUCCUUCACCUCCGCCGCCCAUUUCGGCUCCGUGUUCUUCUCUAAUUUCACUUCAAACGGCUCGGCGGAUUAUCAAAGUGAAAGAAAAAG